GAUGAAGAACGCAGCGAAAUGCGAUAAGUAGUGUGAAUUGCAGAAUUCAGUGAAUCAUCGAAUCUUUGAACGCACAUUGCGCCCCUUGGUAUCCCGAGGGGCAUGCCUGUUCGAGCGUCAUUUCACCACUUAAGCCUGGCUUGGUGUUGGGCGACGUCCUCUUUGGGGACGCGCCUCGAAACGCUCGGCGGCGUGGCACCGGCUUUAAGCGUAGCAGAAUCUUUCGCUUUGGAAGUCGGGGCCCCGUCUGCCGGAAGACCUGCUCGCAAGGUUGACCUCGGAUCAGGCAGGGAUACCCGCUGAACUUAAGCAUAUCAAUAAGCGGAGGA
This 329-nucleotide unclassified non-coding RNA is filed under the name soil metagenome. Its description in RNAcentral is "partial contains 5.8S ribosomal RNA, internal transcribed spacer 2, and large subunit ribosomal RNA". The stretch from base 1 to 120 matches the Rfam family "5.8S ribosomal RNA", at positions 35 to 154 of the family's 154-position model. The record is from RNAcentral.